This 498-nucleotide ribosomal RNA is filed under the name uncultured bacterium. Its description in RNAcentral is "partial 16S ribosomal RNA". It matches the Rfam family "Bacterial small subunit ribosomal RNA", at positions 29 to 523 of the family's 1533-position model. The record is from RNAcentral.
AUUGAACGCUGGCGGCAUGCCUUACACAUGCAAGUCGAACGGUAACGCGGGGCAACCUGGCGACGAGUGGCGAACGGGUGAGUAAUGCAUCGGAACGUGCCCGGAAGUGGGGGAUAGCCCGGCGAAAGCCGGAUUAAUACCGCAUGAGACCUGAGGGUGAAAGCGGGGGAUCGCAAGACCUCGCGCUUUUGGAGCGGCCGAUGUCAGAUUAGCUAGUUGGUGGGGUAAAGGCCUACCAAGGCGACGAUCUGUAGCUGGUCUGAGAGGACGACCAGCCACACGGGGACUGAGACACGGCCCAGACUCCUACGGGAGGCAGCAGUGGGGAGUUUUGGACAAUGGGCGCAAGCCUGAUCCAGCCAUGCCGCGUGCGGGAAGAAGGCCUUCGGGUUGUAAACCGCUUUUGUCAGGGAAGAAACGCUCUGGGCUAAUACCCUGGGGUAAUGACGGUACCUGAAGAAUAAGCACCGGCUAACUACGUGCCAGCCGCCGCGGUAA